RNAcentral lists this transfer RNA (76 nucleotides) under Candidatus Syntrophosphaera sp. Its description in RNAcentral is "tRNA-Thr". It matches the Rfam family "tRNA". Rfam says of the family: Transfer RNA (tRNA) molecules are approximately 80 nucleotides in length. Their secondary structure includes four short double-helical elements and three loops (D, anti-codon, and T loops). The record is from RNAcentral. Lineage: Bacteria; Pseudomonadati; Candidatus Cloacimonadota; Cloacimonadia (SeqCode); Cloacimonadales (SeqCode); Cloacimonadaceae (SeqCode).
GCUAAAUUAGCUCAGUUGGUAGAGCAGCUGAUUCGUAAUCAGCAGGUCGGGGGUUCAAAUCCCCCAUUUAGCUCCA